This 425-nucleotide ribosomal RNA is filed under the name uncultured bacterium. RNAcentral's name for it is "partial 16S ribosomal RNA". It matches the Rfam family "Bacterial small subunit ribosomal RNA", at positions 354 to 796 of the family's 1533-position model. The record is from RNAcentral.
GUUAGGAAUAUUGGACAAUGGGCGAAAGCCUGAUCCAGCCAUGCCGCGUGAACGAUGAAGGCCUUCGGGUUGUAAAGUUCUUUAGCCGAUGAUUAUAAUGACUGUAGUCGGAAAAUAAGCCCCGGCUAACUUCGUGCCAGCAGCCGCGGUAAUACGAAGGGGGCGAGCGUUAUUCGGAAUCACUGGGCGUAAAGCGUGCGUAGGCGGUUUUGUAAGUUAGGAGUGAAAGCCCAGGGCUCAACCUUGGAAUUGCUCUUAAAACUGCAAGGCUCGAAUCUCGGAGAGGAUAGCGGAAUUUCCAGUGUAGCAGUGAAAUGCGUAGAGAUCAGAAGGAACAUCCGUGGCGAAGGCGGCAUCCUGGGCCAACACUGACACUGAGGCACGAAAGCGUGGGGAGCAAACAGGAUUAGAUACCCUAGUAGUCC